Non-coding RNA from Musa acuminata subsp. malaccensis (wild Malaysian banana), 359 nucleotides. NCBI's taxonomy places the organism in Eukaryota, Viridiplantae, Streptophyta, Magnoliopsida, Zingiberales, Musaceae. The record is from RefSeq and is a predicted model, not a curated record.
UUUAUUUUUUCUGUUUGUCUUCACGGGUAACCGCUCACGAGGAGACGACGGAUGAGAAAGAGGCGAGAGAGAGAGAGAGAGGCCGUCUUCGGCGAUCGAUCAAAGCUACGCGUCAGGAGACGGCGAGAGAUGGACACCAACCCCUGGCAGAUAUCUUGAUGUGAGCACUAUCAUUUCAAGGAGUCGGGCAGUGGACAGAGCCUUGAUGGUGUUCUUGAAGCGGUAGCAGCCCCACACACACACCGCCCAUAAUGGGGUACCGGAAUGGACCACAUCACGAGCGGUGGAAUCUAUUGGGCAUUGCUCCGACCUCAGUAGCCCCAUCUAAUUCUAAUUUUUUCUGUGAAAUAAAAAAGAAA